GACUAUACUCAAUGAAUGCUUUUGGUUGCAUGACCUGCAUUUCAAGCCACAUGAUCGCUAAUGAUUAGCAAGAAUGUCUCCCUUCUUCUGAAACAAGGAGGUGGCUUUGCAUUUUUGCUUUGCUCUAUUUGCAGUGGUUUAUAUUUGUUUGUUUUUUUCUUCUUCCCUGCAGCUUGCAAAAUUGGAUAUUACAAGGCUCUCUCCACGGAUGCCACCUGUGCCAAGUGCCCACCCCACAGCUACUCUGUCUGGGAAGGAGCCACCUCGUGCACCUGUGACCGAGGCUUUUUCAGAGCUGACAACGAUGCUGCCUCUAUGCCCUGCACCCGUCCACCGUCUGCUCCCCUGAACUUGAUUUCAAAUGUCAAUGAGACAUCUGUGAACUUGGAAUGGAGUAGCCCUCAGAAUACAGGUGGCCGCCAGGACAUUUCCUAUAAUGUGGUAUGCAAGAAAUGUGGAGCUGGUGACCCCAGCAAGUGCCGACCCUGUGGAAGUGGGGUCCACUACACCCCGCAGCAGAAUGGCUUGAAGACCACCAAAGUCUCCAUCACUGACCUCCUAGCUCACACCAAUUACACC
RNAcentral lists this small RNA (579 nucleotides) under Pan troglodytes (chimpanzee). RNAcentral describes it as "retained intron". Lineage: Eukaryota; Metazoa; Chordata; Mammalia; Primates; Hominidae. The record is from RNAcentral.